CAUGGGGGAGGACUUGGGGACACGGGGCCAUUCAUGGGGCACGCAGGGGGUCCCAGGGGUGUAGUGACCCCAUCCCUGUCCCCCCCAGGUGGGGACCAUCCUGAAGCACCUGUUCCCCGUGCCCCGCCCCGACAGCCGCCGCGUGGUGACCUUUGCCAACGAGGACGACGUCAUCCUCGUGCGGAACCACGUGUACCGGCGCCGGGGGCGGACAGUGGAGCUGGAGGAGGUGGGACCGCGGUUCCAGCUGCGCCCCUACCUGAUCCGCCUGGGCACGCUGGAGCAGGGGGAUGCAGCCGACGUGGAGUGGCGCUGGCACCCGUACACGGCCACGGCCCCCAAGCGCCGCCUGCUCAGCGCCACCUGAGCCCCCCGGACCCGCCCUGGGCCUCCCCGGGCAGCUGGGACCCUCCUGGAAACCUGGCACCACCCAGGCAGCUGGGACCCUGUUGGAUGCCUGGGACCCCCCCAGGCUCCAGGGCCCCCCCAGAACACUCCGGGUGUUUCACACACCUGGGAGUCUCAGAAUCAUUUUUUAUUUGUCACAAUAAACCUUUUUUGGCUAUUU
Neopelma chrysocephalum (saffron-crested tyrant-manakin) is the source of this 568-nucleotide long non-coding RNA. RefSeq lists it as uncharacterized. The record is from RefSeq and is a predicted model, not a curated record. The transcript has 3 exons. NCBI's taxonomy places the organism in Eukaryota, Metazoa, Chordata, Aves, Passeriformes, Pipridae.